AUUGGGUUCCGGCAUUGGAAUGAGAACAAUAUAAAUCUUUUAACGAGGAUCUAGUGGAGGGCAAGUCUGGUGCCAGCAGCCGCGGUAAUUCCAGCUCCGCAAGUGUAUAUCUAUGUUGCUGCGGUUAAAAAGCUCGUAGUUGGAUCUGCGUGUUUAGCGUCCGGUUCGACCUUUGGUCGUUACUGGAACGCGACACAGAUGUGCUGGUUUGCCGUUGAUGCUCUUAACCGGGUGUCAGUGGCGGCUAGCGAGUUUACUUUGAAAAAAUUAGAGUGCUCAAAACAGGCGUUUCGCCUGAAUAUUUCUGCAUGGAAUAAUAGAAUAGGACUUCGAUUCUAUUCUGUUGGUUUUCGGAAUGCGAAGUAAUGAUUAAGAGGGACAGACGGGGGCAUUCGUACUGCGACGUUAGAGGUGAAAUUCUUGGAUCGUCGCAAGACGUACUACUGCGAAGGCAUUUGCCAAGAAUGUUUUCAUUAAUCAAGAACGAAAGUUAUGGGUUCGAAGGCGAUCAGAUACCGCCCUAGUCAUAACCGUAAACGAUUCAAACUGGGCGCCCGUCGGUGUUUUCAUUGACCCGACGGGAACCCUCCCGGAAACGAAAGUGUUCGUGUUCCGGGGGAAAUAUGUCUGCAAAGAGGAAACUUAAAGGAAUUGACGGAAGGGCACCACCAGGGGUGGAGCCUGCGGCUUAAUUUGACCCAACACGGGGAAACUCACCCGGCCCGGACACCGUAAGGAUUGACAGAUUGAGAGCUCUUUCUUGAUUCGGUGGGUGGUGGUGCAUGGCCGUUCUUAGUUGGUGGAGUGAUUUGUCUGGUUUAUUCCGAUAACGAACGAGACUCUGGCCUGCUAACUAGUGUUCACAUCUUCACGUGUGCUUCGCUUCUUAGAGGGACAGGCGGCUUCCAGCCGCAUGAAGAAGAGCAAUAACAGGUCUGUGAUGCCCUUAGAUGUCCGGGGCUGCACGCGCGCUACACUGAAAGACUCAGCGUGUACGUUGCCUGGCUCGAAAGAGUCGGGUAAUCCGGUGAAAAUCUUUCGUGAUUGGGAUCGGGACUUGCAAUUAUUUCCCUUGAACGAGGGAUCCCUAGUAAGUGCGGGUCAUCAGCUCGCGCUGAUUACGUCCCUGCCCUUUGUACACACCGCCCGUCGCUGCCCGGAACUGAGCCGUUUCGAGAAAAAUGGGGACUGUCUACUUGAGGUCUUCGCGGACUUUUUGUAAAUGGAAACCGCUUUAAUCGCAGCGGCUUGAACCGGGCAA
RNAcentral lists this ribosomal RNA (1261 nucleotides) under metagenome. RNAcentral's name for it is "SSU rRNA". It matches the Rfam family "Eukaryotic small subunit ribosomal RNA", at positions 495 to 1785 of the family's 1831-position model. The record is from RNAcentral.